This 253-nucleotide ribosomal RNA is filed under the name uncultured bacterium. RNAcentral's name for it is "partial 16S ribosomal RNA". It matches the Rfam family "Bacterial small subunit ribosomal RNA", at positions 524 to 776 of the family's 1533-position model. The record is from RNAcentral.
UACGUAGGGUGCAAGCGUUAAUCGGAAUUACUGGGCGUAAAGCGUGCGCAGGCGGCUUUGCAAGACAGAUGUGAAAUCCCCGGGCUUAACCUGGGAACUGCAUUUGUGACUGCAUGGCUGGAGUGCGGCAGAGGGGGAUGGAAUUCCGCGUGUAGCAGUGAAAUGCGUAGAUAUGCGGAGGAACACCGAUGGCGAAGGCAAUCCCCUGGGCCUGCACUGACGCUCAUGCACGAAAGCGUGGGGAGCAAUCAGG